UAACGGCCUACCAAGGCUCCGAUCGGUAGCUGGUCUGAGAGGAUGAUCAGCCACACUGGUAUUUAAAACAAUUCCCAGACUCCUACGGGAGGCAACAGUGGGGAAUAUUGGAUAAUGGGCGAAAGCCUGAUCCAGCAAUGCCUCGUGUGUGAAGAAGGUCUUCGGAUUGUAAAGCACUUUCGACGGCGACGAUGAUGACGGUACCCGUAGAAGAAGCCCCGGCUAACUUCGUGCCAGCAGCCGCGGUAAUACGAAGGGGGCUAGCGUUGCUCGGAUUGACUGGGCGUAAAGGGCGCGUAGGCGGCUUGUACAGUCAGACGUGAAAUUCCUGGGCUCAACCUGGGGGCUGCGUUUGAUACGUGCGGGCUUGAGUUCGGAAGGAGGGGUCGUGGUAUUCCCCAGUGUAGAGGUGAUAUUU
RNAcentral lists this ribosomal RNA (418 nucleotides) under uncultured soil bacterium. RNAcentral describes it as "bacterial SSU rRNA". It matches the Rfam family "Bacterial small subunit ribosomal RNA", at positions 258 to 689 of the family's 1533-position model. The record is from RNAcentral.